Odocoileus virginianus texanus is the source of this 1987-nucleotide non-coding RNA. The record is from RefSeq and is a predicted model, not a curated record. Lineage: Eukaryota; Metazoa; Chordata; Mammalia; Artiodactyla; Cervidae.
UGGGGGUGUGGAAUCUUAGCCACUGGACCACCAGGGAAGUCCCUCUUUCAUAAUUUCAAUGUCAUUUUUUUGCAAACCUUAUCAAGCUGUUAAGAUUAACUGAUUUGGUACUCUGCCAGAUCCAUCCUGCUAAUUAUAGUUGCUGAGUCCAAUUGCUUCAUUUUAUUGGCCUCUGUUCACUUUAGAAAGGGGUUGGAAUAAAUAGCCUUUAGCUUCCCAAUUGAUCUCUGAAGAUGCACUAUUAAAAUAAUGUUUUGAAAACAGUUAAUUCAUAACUAUGUAAAUUUCUAUUUUUCAUCUGUAAAAAAAUUAAUAAAAAUGAUUAACUACUAGCUAUGUAAAUUCUGUUUCCUCAACUAUAAAAUGGAAAUAAGUGACUACAUUUAAUAAACUUGAUGUGAAUUUUGACAUGUUAUAGAAGACUCAAUUACUGGUAACCUAUGAUUUCUGAGAGGAAAAAGGCAGAGAGGACUAGGAAAGGCUCAAUGGAAGAGUGAUAGCUGAUCUCAGCCUUUGAUGAAUACAUUUUGAUAGCUGGUAACUGAGAAUUAUAAUGGGUGGACAUUCCAAGCACAUGAAAGGGCAUGAGAAACAUUGCUAAUGUGGAAAACAGCAAAGCAAGUCCUGGAAAUAUUAAACAAUCUAUGUUCAGUUGACAUAUAAAGUAUAUGCUCUAAGUUAGUGGUAGAUUAAACUUGAAAAGUAGAAAGUGAACAAAAUAUGAAAGACCUUGAAUAAUACAGUAAGAAGUUCAGACUGUUCAAGAACUAAAGAAUGUUAGUGCAGCAAUGAGAUAACCAAAAUUGUCAUUCAGAUUUGUCUGGGAGAUAUAAAUAGGGAUUGCAUCUUUAUACAAAGACCACAUUCUGCAUCGCUCCAUGAUCUCAAAAACUUUGCUCUGUCAGUCUCCUUACUGGAUUAAUUCACUCAGCAACCCAAGUAACCAUUUAGCUGUUUCCACUAAAUGGAGUUAGGGAGAAUAAAAACUGGUUCUUCCCUGGUGGUCCAGAGGUGAAGAAUCUGUCUCACAAUGCAGGGGACGUAGGUUUGAUCCCUAGUCAGUGAACUAAGAUCCAACUGCAUGACAUGGAGCAACCAAGGCCGUGUGCUACACAGUCUCUGUGCACGAUGCAAUAAAGAUCCAAUGUGCUGCAACUAAGACCUGAUACAGCCAGAUACAUUGCUUUUUAGUGAUUCUGGUUAUAUGUGAAAUGGAUGUCUGCAAAGGGUAGAUGACAGCCCUACUUUUCGACUGUCAGUACAACUGAAGUAAAAAAUCCUAACCUGCUCUCUGCUCUACUUCUGUCUGUGCUUACAUUUCAUUUUGCCCUUGGAAAUGCCAGUUGUGUCAUGAACACUGCAAAUGUGUUAAACCUCAACUUGAAAGGUUCUGCCUCCAUUUUUCGCCUUAAUUUAACCAUGCUUUUUCUAAGAAUUUCUCUUCCUCUCUAGGCCUUUAGAGUUGAUGUUGCUUAUUUCACAUGCUUCACAUCCAUGGAGCCCAGAGAAAGGGUUUGACUAUGUCACAAGGACCAUGAGAAAGGAAGUAAUCCAGACCUAAUCUGAUGUGACAUCUGGACCUGAAAUAAUGAGCUGAAAUCUCUGUCUAACACAAUGAAAAUGAAGUCAAUUGGAAAGUUGUUUACCCUGUAAAUAGACUGCCUCAAGAAGAAUCCAUGUGAAACUCUUAAGUGACUGCAGCUUUGAAAAAGAACUACAGGACCAAGGAGUUUGUCUUCGUGCUUCAACAGAGGAUCACAUCCAGCCUGAUCAGUCCACAACCUGCUACUGGGGAAAUGACACAGCACUAGAAUGUUAAUGCUGGAGCCAAAGUUCUCUCCUAGAACUCGGCUGAGCCCUGGGGCCUCCCGAACCUUCUGAAGGAUGAGGAUGGUGCAAUCUCCAGGAAUGCACAAGGAAGUGACCCUGUGAAAAAGAAUAAAGUAAUAACUUUUUGCCUUAAGAGAUUAAAGCACAUACAACUAUA